UUUGAUGCGUUUGGUUUGGCGCCCUGUCGAGAACGCGAAGUUUACGAGCUGUGAACUUACACGCGCAGUGAGCGAAGCAAGACGAGUGUUUUUUAGGUGGGAUGGGAAGAGAUUUUUUUUUUUUCCUCCUCUCUUUUUCACACAAGGUAAGUGUGGGAUCGAUCACAGGGGCCACAGUGCUUGGGCAGUUUCGAAGAAUUGACAUUGAUUAGUAGCAGCCAAACGAGACCGCCCAAAAGGAAGAAGAAGGAAGAAGAAGAAGAACACUCGCGAGAAGAGGGCUCCUCCCUCUUUGUGUGAUCUUCUUCUAUUCUAUUGGGCUCGAUCGAGUCGACGAUCGAUCCAUUGGUGGGCGAUGGCAAUGCGGGUCCCGUGAAUCGCAAAAUCCCUUGAAAGCUAGUUCUUGUUUUUGUUCGCUCCCUCUCUCCCAGCGAUCGAUCGACCCUUCUUCUCUUGGGAAUUUUGAGCGGAGGCUGGGUUCACGGGUGGGAUCAUUCAUUGGUGUUGUUUGUUCUUGUUUUCUCCCUUUGGUGCCUUUAUCUCCUCCUCGCUUUUUUUUGGAUUUCUUCCUCUUGGCGCUCUCGCGCUGCCUUUUUCCGGUUUGAAAAAAAGAGAGGAAGCGAUCGCAUUUACUCUGGGCCGGCACCCCCGAUCAUAUAGAUGCCCCACUCGGGCUCUUUGGAUCGCUCCAGUGCGCUCCAGGCUCUAGAGGGUCCCAGAGCGAUCGAUUGGAAUCUUGGUUGUCGUCGCGCUUCGAGCUAGCUAGCGAUUCCCAGGAGAGUUUGUUCUCUCUUUUCUUUCGAGAGAGGAUGGAUGAAUCCCCACGAAGACCCAAUGCGGCUAGCAGUAAGCACGCGCGGCGGCUGUUCGCAGCGAAUAGAGAAGAGAAAUCGGCGAGGAGACACAGUAGCAGCGAUGGCCAAGCUCGCAGGAAGCUACUUUUGGUAAAGACCCCUCUUUUUAUUCCAUUCCCAUUUGAGUGACAGGACCUUUUCGUUUUGUGAUCAGGGAGCUCCAGAGGAAGAAUCUCUGAAUUCUAGCUUCGAUGACGCGGCGAUCCACGGGCCCAAUGUGGUGGCGAGGCUGAUGGGCUUGGAUUCGCUGCCAGUGGGCGCCAAAAUCAAGGAUCUCUCAGCAGUAAGUAGCAGUAGUGGUAGCGAUGGUCGCUCGCCGCCAGUGAUGAUCCUCCGCGAGAAUGGAGGAGGAGGAGAGAGGCAGCAGCUCCAGCUCCAGGAGCUCCUGAGGAUCAAAGAGCCGCUGCUACUCCGCGAGCUCCUGCGAGAGGAAGAGGAUCAGUAUCGUAGCUUGGAGGAGGAUCACCAGCGGCAGAACGGGAGGAAAGGACCAUCGCUGGUGGAGAAAUUUGCAGGACUGAUGAGGAGGACUCGGGUUCCAGCGGUGGAACACGAACAGGAAGAAGAGGAGAAAUCGAAGAAGAAAAAGGAGGAGCAAAAGAGCGGUGGUAGCAAGGUCUCACCGAUCAAGAGCCCGUCAAAGAAGAAGCGUGGCCUGGUAGCGGAGGUUGCCGUGAAGAUCUUGGCGACCGAUGAUCAUCGUCCACCGCAGCACCAGAAUUUGGACACGGGCACCGCGGACAAGAAGCCCUCGAGCCGGAGGAAGUUGUCGCUAAACCGGAGCUCAUCCGAGCCAACUCUCGGCUCGUCGUCGUCGUCAACUUCCAGAAGGCUGGCCAAGAUUUCCGAGAGCAUCCGGCAAAGGUUCGGUGGUUUCAGCUCCAGCAGCGAUCGCUCGAGCUCGAACUCUUCGUCGUCAUCAUCGGUGUCAAAGUCGACGAAGAACAAGGUCAGCGAUGGUGGAAACUUGGUUCGGAGUAAGUCGGACUUGGGACUCCAGCAGCAGCACGAAGGUGGUGGAGGAUUGGGAUGGUCUGAAAUUCGGAGGCUGCACAAGCAACAAAAGCAACGAGAGUCCGAUCAGCUCAUCAUCAAGAGCAGCAAUGAAAGGGAAGAGGACCACUUACCCCAGAGAGCGUCGUUUUCUCGCACUGCAAAGUUGGUCACAAUGAAGAACUCCACCAGUAGCAGCCAUGGAAUCCUGAGCUACACCACAAACAGGCUGUUUGGGAAUCAGAGGGGAAAAGAGAAAGAAAGUAACAGGACGAGGACGAAGCGUACCAGCAGCAGCGACGGAAGUGGCAAGGAUCACAGCAGCACGAGUGCGACGAGUGGCACGGCGAGGCCGAGCAAAAGUGAGGCAUCGUCGUCUUUAAUGCGCGCAUUGCUGAGAAGAUCACGGAACAUCGGCGCUGGAACCACCAAGCAAGCUGCGCGGAGCUUUCAAUCCGUUGGGGGGAAAGCCUCUGCUUCUUCGAUGAGCUCGAGACAAGGCCGAGCUGAUGAUAUUUCUUUGUCCUCGGUGGCAUCGUCUUCUUGCGCUGGUGUUACUCCUCCCCGGUUUUGUGAGGAGCUGCUCUCGGACGAUAGUAGCAGCGUGGCUCGGUCGGAAGGAAGCGGGAGCUCUCCGACAAACUCGAAUUGCGGGAACUAUGAGUGCAGCCGGUCAUCUCGAUCGGAGGGUGGACAGCCCAGUCCAGUUUCGGUGCUCGAGCCACCGUUUGUCGACGAGAUGCACUCGUCCCCGUUGGACAGUGGUGGCGAAGACUCACCUGAUGCUAAGCUACGUACCAGUUCCACGGGCAGUGACAGCAUUCUCAGCGCCAUCCUGGACAUAUCACGAAUCCGCUGCAUCGACCUCUCUUCCAUCGGAAUAAGCGACUCCACCGCCAGUAGCAGGCACUCUUUCGAGGAAGAGGCAGCCUACAUCGACGACGUUCUUAGGACGAGUCAGCUUUUAUGUGACCAGGAGGAGAAGAUGCUGAGCUCGCCAGCAGCCGUAGCAGCAACUAGAAGGUGGCUUAGCCAAGAUAGUCCAGUCGCUUCCCGGGUUUUCAGCAUCAUAGAGACGACGAUGACUGCCAAAUCUCAUGGACGAGGCUCGCUGCAAGCUCGCAAGUUGCUCUUCGACUGCGUAGAGGAGGCAGUGAGAUCAAGAUUCGGCUGCUGUAAAAGCUGGUACUUAGGCGUAGGAUCGGUGAGGUUGGCUGGAGUCGGGAUGCCACAGGUUGGUGCAGAGGUUCAGCAACAAAUAAGUGACUGGAAGUCGAUGGAAACGCUGUCAACUGAUGAGCUCGUUGAGAAGGACAUGAGUGUUGGUGCUGGAAAGUGGAUGGAUUGGAACGGGCAAGUGAAGCUGAUUGCCGAGGACGUUGAGAGCAGCAUUCUGCGGACAAUGAUAGACGAGCUUGUCUGCGAGUGGAGUGGACCAUAACUGGUGGCUUUCAACCCUGUUCUGUGAGCGUUUAAAUCUGAAGUCAAGUCUCUAUUCUUUCUGCCAGGCAGGCUUCCAAGGCUCGAUGGUUCUGCGAGAGAAAGCCUGUGUCAUCGACAGUGCCCUGCUCCUUGCAACGCCUGUCUCGUUCCAGAAGCUCCUCGUCUCGUGACUCGGGUCCAGUUCCUCGAACAAGAGAGUAUUGUCACCAGCAAAGUUAAUGCCUCGGCGUCUCCACAAACCUCCCAUACCGCUGCCUGGAUGUCGUCUUUCGAAGGAACGUGAGAAAUCUGUUGUUUAGCAAAACCAAGACUCAUUUGUGAAGCAAAUCAAUCUCGGAAACUCAAUUUGGAUUUA
Molecule: RNA transcript, 3645 nt
Organism: Selaginella moellendorffii
Lineage: Eukaryota; Viridiplantae; Streptophyta; Lycopodiopsida; Selaginellales; Selaginellaceae
Gene name: serine-rich adhesin for platelets
Exons: 6
Source: RefSeq, a predicted model, not a curated record